This 537-nucleotide long non-coding RNA is filed under the name Vulpes vulpes (red fox). RNAcentral's name for it is "lncRNA (ENSVVUG00000017213.1)". Lineage: Eukaryota; Metazoa; Chordata; Mammalia; Carnivora; Canidae. The record is from RNAcentral.
UUGCCUAUGUCUCUGCCUCUCUCUGUACCUUUCAUGAAUAAAUAAAAUCUUUUUUUUUUUUAAAGAAAUUACAUCAGUUAUAGGUUUGCUCUUGGAUAUUGCUUUCAAAUGUGUCAAUAAACAAAAUACUCCUAUUACUAUAUCACAAAUCUGUUUUCUUUUUAAUAUUUUGAUAAUUGUAUUCCAAUAUAAUUAGUUUCCUUUGUACUGCUAUGUAUUUUACUUUAGGCAUCUAGAAACAUUACUGUGAGAAACGCUUCACAGGCUUACCUAGACUGCAAGAGGGUCCAUGGAAGAAAUUUCAAGACUCUUGAUUAAAGGGACUCAAAAUAUCAGUGAAAUGCUCUCCUGGACAAGUUGCCAUAUAUCCAUUCCUAUUCCCUUUGCUCCUGUUCCAGAAGCUGAAAGAUUUAGUUCAUAGUCUUUCGCCAUGCAAUUUAUUUAGCUGGCAUCCUCCUUAACUAUAAAACUUCAGAGGAGACUGAUGAUCCAAGAAUAAGGUAAGUGAAGUCUUCAUGAAUUUAAAAAGCAAAUAAA